This 1396-nucleotide small RNA is filed under the name Saccharomyces eubayanus. Its description in RNAcentral is "eukaryotic LSU rRNA". The stretch from base 763 to 1396 matches the Rfam family "Eukaryotic large subunit ribosomal RNA", at positions 1 to 649 of the family's 3401-position model. Lineage: Eukaryota; Fungi; Ascomycota; Saccharomycetes; Saccharomycetales; Saccharomycetaceae. The record is from RNAcentral.
AAGGAUCAUUAAAGAAAUUUAAUAAUUUUGAUAUUGGAUUUUUUUGUUUUGGCAAGAGCGUGAGAGCUUUUACUGGGCAAGAAGACAAGAGAUGGAGAGUCCAGCCGGGCCUGCGCUUAAGUGCGCGGUCUUGCUAGGCUUGCAAAUUUCUUUCUUGCUAUUCCAAACAGUGAGACUUCUCUGUUUUUGUUAUAGGACAAUUAAAACCGUUUCAAUACAACACACUGUGGAGUUUUUAUACUUUUGCAACUUUUUCUUUGGGUUUCGAGCAAUCGAGCCCAGAGGUAACAAACACAAACAAUUUUAUUUAUUCAUUAAAUUUUUGUCAAAAACAAGAAUUUUCGUAACUGGAAAUUUUAAAAAUAAUUAAAAACUUUCAACAACGGAUCUCUUGGUUCUCGCAUCGAUGAAGAACGCAGCGAAAUGCGAUACGUAAUGUGAAUUGCAGAAUUCCGUGAAUCAUCGAAUCUUUGAACGCACAUUGCGCCCCUUGGUAUUCCAGGGGGCAUGCCUGUUUGAGCGUCAUUUCCUUCUCAAACAUUCUGUUUGGUAGUGAGUGAUACUCUCUGGAGUUAACUUGAAAUUGCUGGCCUUUUCAUUGGAUGUUUUUUUUCCAAAGAGAGGUUUCUCUGCGUGCUUGAGGUAUAAUGCAAGUACGGUCGUUUUAGGUUUUACCAACUGCGGCUAAUCUUUUUUGUACUGAGCGUAUUGAAACGUUAUCGAUAAGAAGAGAGCGUCUAGGCGAACAAUGUUCUUAAAGUUUGACCUCAAAUCAGGUAGGAGUACCCGCUGAACUUAAGCAUAUCAAUAAGCGGAGGAAAAGAAACCAACCGGGAUUGCCUUAGUAACGGCGAGUGAAGCGGCAAAAGCUCAAAUUUGAAAUCUGGUACCUUUGGUGCCCGAGUUGUAAUUUGGAGAGGGCAACUUUGGGACCGUUCCUUGUCUAUGUUCCUUGGAACAGGACGUCAUAGAGGGUGAGAAUCCCGUGUGGCGAGGAGUGCGGUUCUAUGUAAAGUGCCUUCGAAGAGUCGAGUUGUUUGGGAAUGCAGCUCUAAGUGGGUGGUAAAUUCCAUCUAAAGCUAAAUAUUGGCGAGAGACCGAUAGCGAACAAGUACAGUGAUGGAAAGAUGAAAAGAACUUUGAAAAGAGAGUGAAAAAGUACGUGAAAUUGUUGAAAGGGAAGGGCAUUUGAUCAGACAUGGUGUUUUGCGCCCUCUGCUCCUUGUGGGUGGGGGAAUCUCGCAGUUCACUGGGCCAGCAUCAGUUUUGGUGGCAGGAUAAAUCCGUAGGAAUGUAACUUGCUUCGGGAAGUAUUAUAGCCUAUGGGAAUACUGCCAACUGGGACUGAGGACUGCGACGUAAGUCAAGGAUGCUGGCAUAAUGGUUAUAUGCCGCC